Molecule: long non-coding RNA, 1366 nt
Organism: Tripterygium wilfordii
Lineage: Eukaryota; Viridiplantae; Streptophyta; Magnoliopsida; Celastrales; Celastraceae
Exons: 3
Source: RefSeq, a predicted model, not a curated record
UCUCAACCUAGCUAAUCAUUGCAACGUUGGAUAGCGAAGUUCGAAGUUUCCUUCUGUUGAAUGUUGAGAGAAUAUCUAAUGUCUCGCUUGGCAGAGCUACGAGAGGAGAGAAUGUCCCUAAUACCAUGACCCUAAUAGAAACUGCUCAAGCUCAAAGAACAUCAAAUCCGCUGACCUUGAUGCCAGUCUGGUUCAAGGACACAAACAGCUCAGUUCGUUAGACGCUGAAUUCUCAAUACUUUCAGAGGAAAAAGAGAAACUGGAGGUUGAGAUCCAGCCUUUGAUUUCCAUCCUCCCUUCUAGGUGCAGGCUACAGAGGUGAAAUGCAUCUUGGUUAUUGUUGGUUUUCUCUGCAAAGAGGGUGGGAGAUCCUAGUCCCUCAAAGACUAGGGUCUAUCUUUCUUUCUGUCAUAUCUCGCUUAUUUCUAGUUGUUAUCCUUGGCAAGGUCAAGACAAGCAUGGCGGAGCCUACUGACUCCUUCGCGACGAAAAUGGUAGAUAUGAAGGUGGAGUUCGCAUUGGUGAAAGAUCUGAUGAUGGAGCUGAGAGAUUUGGUGUGACUGAAGUACGGUGGACAAGGUAGUUUAUGUCAAAAAGAGGUGCAGGUUGAGGUCUGUAUGGUGAGUUCUGUUGUUCCCGCAACUCUUGGUGGUGCCAUGGAGAUGGAGUAGGAGGAAGAAGAAACAAAGAAGCUUCUGAAAAAAGUAAGGGUUAGAGGUGAGAAUUGGGCCACAUCUUUUGGGCUUGUUAAGUUGAUUGCGCCAUAUGUACUGGAAAGGCUUAGAGAAAAUUCUAUUUUGGUCACCAAUUCUCUUAUUAGGCCUAAUGACUCCUUUGGGCCUGCUAAAAGAAAAGGACCUGGAGCUUUACAACCCACUUUUUUGUCACCAAACUUGACCCAUCACUUGGAGGAUAUCAAUUUGACCUUAGAACAUGCACAACAACUAGAGAUGCAAUGUGAGUUCACUGAAAAUUUUGGGCGGAUGUCAGAUCAGAAAUCUGUUGGUUGGGAAUUGGUUAUGAAGAAAGUAGGAAUUGACUUAUUGUGUUUUUCUUGUAUACAACCUUGAGGACAAGGUUGAUGUUUUCUAGAUAGGUAUUGAUAUAUAUGUUAUUACUUAUUACUUGUAUUAGUGGAUGAUAUUUUUGUCAUUUUAAUGACUUUUAGGGUUAAGUAUGAGAUCAAUCAAGAGAGGUAGCAGUCUUUUUGGUAAGAAAAAAAAUUAAGGAGAGACUACCCUCUCGAAUGGUAGAACCUGGGAGGCCGAUCAAAGUCGAAUUGAUCAUCAUUGCCAUCUCAUAUUCAUUAGGGUUGUAAUUCUCCUAUUUUUAGUGUGACUCUAUCAAUGAUAUCGGAGCCAGGUUA